This 103-nucleotide microRNA precursor is filed under the name Pelobates cultripes (western spadefoot toad). Lineage: Eukaryota; Metazoa; Chordata; Amphibia; Anura; Pelobatidae. The record is from RNAcentral.
UGUUUGUAUAGUGUGUGUAUAUAAUGCAGUGUGUUUGUGUAGUGUGCAUUAUAUAAUGCACACUACACAAACACACUGCAUUAUAUACACACACUACACAAAC